UACAGAGGGUGCAAGCGUUGUUCGGAAUUAUUGGGCGUAAAGCGCGUGUAGGCGGCUUUGCAAGUCGGGUGUGAAAGCCCUCAGCUCAACUGAGGAAGUGCGCCCGAAACUGCUGGGCUUGAGUGCCGGAGAGGGUGGCGGAAUUCCCCAAGUAGAGGUGAAAUUCGUAGAUAUGGGGAGGAACACCGGUGGCGAAGGCGGCCACCUGGACGGUGACUGACGCUGAGACGCGAAAGCGUGGGGAGCAAACAGG
This 253-nucleotide ribosomal RNA is filed under the name uncultured bacterium. RNAcentral's name for it is "partial 16S ribosomal RNA". It matches the Rfam family "Bacterial small subunit ribosomal RNA", at positions 524 to 776 of the family's 1533-position model. The record is from RNAcentral.